RNAcentral lists this unclassified non-coding RNA (262 nucleotides) under plant metagenome. RNAcentral's name for it is "partial contains small subunit ribosomal RNA and internal transcribed spacer 1". The stretch from base 1 to 47 matches the Rfam family "Eukaryotic small subunit ribosomal RNA", at positions 1785 to 1831 of the family's 1831-position model. The record is from RNAcentral.
AAUGUCGUAACAAGGUUUCCGUAGGUGAACCUGCGGAAGGAUCAUUAGAAUGAGAGCCGGGACCAUGUCGUGGGCCGAAAUGCCCAAAGCGUGCCAGUAAGCGCCCGGUAAACCCUCCACCCUUGUAUAUUAUUCUUUGUUGCUUUCGGUGGGCCCGCAAGGCCCUUCGGGAUGAGCACCGGCUUCGGUCUGGAGAGUGCCUGCCAGGAGGAUCCAACUCUGUAAUUUAGUGAUGUCUGAGUACUAUUAAACUAGUUAAAAU